RNA transcript from Zea mays, 1436 nucleotides. It is a transcript of the gene named tuliposide A-converting enzyme pseudogene, with no coding region annotated. The transcript has a single exon. Lineage: Eukaryota; Viridiplantae; Streptophyta; Magnoliopsida; Poales; Poaceae. The record is from RefSeq and is marked validated.
AGAUCGGAUCCCCAUACUUGCUAAUGCUAGGCCACGGCUGACGUCUGCGCCGCUUCCGCGUCGGCGGCGGACAGCUCGGAGCCGCUAGGUCUCCGCUCUCUGCCGCAUUCCGUGGCAUAUCCUAUAACAAUUUCCCCAACGCCACAUGGCCAACGCCGACGCUGGCGACGGCGACGAGGUCAUCCUCGACGCUCCCGGCUUCAUACGAGUGUACAGGAGCGGCCGCGUCGAGCGCUUUCUGCCGGUCGACUUCGCCCCGCCCUCCACUGACGCCGCCACCGGCGUCUCUUCAAAGGACGUCGCCAUCCUCCCAGACGCCUGCCUAUUGGUUCGCAUUUACCUCCCAUUGCCCCCCUCUUCCGGAAGUUACAGCGGCAAACUCCCCGUCCUGGUGUUCUUCCACGGCGGCGGGUUCUGCCUCGGUUCGGCGUUUGAUGCGGCGGUGCACUCCCACGCCAACCGGUUAGCCGCGGCUGCCGGCGCAAUCAUCGUGUCGGACUGUCGGUGGAAUACCGCCUCGCGCCAGAGCAUCCGGUCCCCGCUCUCUACGGGGACGCGUGGACGGCGCUCCAGUGGGUGGCCGCGCACUCCGUGGGCCGGGGGCAGGAACCCUGGCUGACUGCCCACGCGGACCUCGGGCGCGUCCACGUCGGCGGAGAGAGCGCGGGCGCGAACAUUGCCCACCACGCCGCGAUGCGCGCUGGCAGAGAGGAGCUGGGCCACGGCGUGAAGCUCAGCUCGCUCGUGAUGAUCCAUCCCUACUUCCUGGGAGGCGAGAGCUCCGAGACAGACGACAUGGGCGUAGCGUUGCUCCGCGAGCUCGUCCGGCUGUGGCCGGUGGUGUGCCCGGGCACGAGCGGGUGCGAUGACGACCCGUUGAUCAAUCCGAUGGCAGAGGGUGCCCCCAAUCUCGCUAGCUUGGGGUGCCGACGCGUACUGGUGUGCGUCGGGGGAAAGGACCCGAUGAGAGGCAGAGGAAGGCUGUAUUGUGAGAAGCUGAAGAGAAGUGGGUGGCGCGGGGAGGUGGAUGACUGGGAGGCGGACGGCCAGGGACACGGUUUCCAUCUCUCGUGCCCCAUGAGCGCAGAGGCGGAGGCGCAAGUCCGGGUCAUCGCUGAGUUUCUGACCUACGGAUGACAUAUCUGUUUUCCCACUCCUUCACGCGGCCAUGGUGCAUUGUUCUCGAAUCUGAUAUACAUUUUUUGUUUCGAGUUUGGAUUGAGGACAUGCAUGUUUAUAUUUUAUAUUUUUAUCUACUAUUUCAUAAGCUUAAUAAAUGUUUGGCUAUGGGUUCCAGAUUCUCAAUUUUCAUCAGAAGAAGGGGUUACUGAGCUGUAUUAGACUUACCUUUGGGUUAAUAUCUAUUGGUGCAAGACCCAGAUUGGCUAUACCUUUGUAAUCGAAUUUGCUUUGCCUGGCUAAAGUUUAUGACAAAA